Molecule: ribosomal RNA, 213 nt
Filed under: Stemmatostoma cribbi
Lineage: Eukaryota; Metazoa; Platyhelminthes; Trematoda; Opisthorchiida; Cryptogonimidae
Description: partial large subunit ribosomal RNA
Source: RNAcentral
GUAAGAUGGUUUCUUGUUGCGAACUUGGUUUACUGGUGCAGAAUCCAGUACUUUGGAGUAAGACGGAAAGACCCCGAGAGCUUGGAUUUAGUCUUUUGUUUGGGGCAGAAGUUUAUGGUUUAUGAUCUUUAUGAUCCUUUGGUGGAUUAAAGGGGGAAGUUACCUCGGGGAUAACUAGGUGAUAGACGAGGAGAGAAGAUAUCGAUUCGUUUG